RNAcentral lists this ribosomal RNA (658 nucleotides) under uncultured soil bacterium. RNAcentral describes it as "bacterial SSU rRNA". It matches the Rfam family "Bacterial small subunit ribosomal RNA", at positions 54 to 744 of the family's 1533-position model. The record is from RNAcentral.
CAUGCAAGUCGCACGAGAAAGUGGAGCAAUCCAUGAGUAAAGUGGCGUACGGGUGAGUAACACGUGGAUCAUCUACCUUUUAGUGGGGAAUACCUCUGGGAAACCGGAGAUAAUACCGCAUAAGCUCGUAAGAGGAAAGCAGCAAUGCGCUGAAAGAGGAGUCCGCGGCUGAUUAGCUAGUUGGCGGGGUAACGGCCCACCAAGGCGAAGAUCGGUAGCCGGCCUGAGAGGGCACACGGCCACACUGGCACUGAAACACGGUCCAGACUCCUACGGGAGGCAGCAGUGGGGAAUCUUGCACAAUGGAGGAAACUCUGAUGCAGCGACGCCGCGUGAGCGAUGAAGCCCUUCGGGGUGUAAAGCUCUUUCGACGGGAACGAUAAUGACGGUACCCGGAGAAGAAGCUGCGGCUAACUACGUGCCAGCAGCCGCGGUAAUACGUAGGCAGCGAGCGUUGUUCGGAAUUACUGGGCGUAAAGAGUGUGUAGGCGGUGCUCCAAGUCUGUUGUGAAAUCUCCCGGCUUAACCGGGAGGGUGCAGCGGAAACUGGAAUGCUUGAGGGUGGGAGAGGAAAGCGGAAUUCCCGGUGUAGCGGUGAAAUGCGUAGAUAUCAGGAGGAACACCUGUGGUGUAGACAGCUUUCUGGACCACUUCUGAC